GAUGAACGCUGGCGGCGUGCCUAAUACAUGCAAGUCGAGCGAACAGAUGAGGAGCUUGCUCCUCUGACGUUAGCGGCGGACGGGUGAGUAACACGUGGAUAACCUACCUAUAAGACUGGGAUAACUUCGGGAAACCGGAGCUAAUACCGGAUAAUAUAUUGAACCGCAUGGUUCAAUAGUGAAAGACUGUUUUGCUGUCACUUAUAGAUGGAUCCGCGCCGCAUUAGCUAGUUGGUAAGGUAACGGCUUACCAAGGCAACGAUGCGUAGCCGACCUGAGAGGGUGAUCGGCCACACUGGAACUGAGACACGGUCCAGACUCCUACGGGAGGCAGCAGUAGGGGAUCUUCCGCAAUGGGCGAAAGCCUGACGGAGCAACGCCGCGUGAGUGAUGAAGGUCUUCGGAUCGUAAAACUCUGUUAUUAGGGAAGAACAAAUGUGUAAGUAACUAUGCACGUCUUGACGGUACCUAAUCAGAAAGCCACGGCUAACUACGUG
This 497-nucleotide ribosomal RNA is filed under the name uncultured bacterium. RNAcentral's name for it is "partial 16S ribosomal RNA". It matches the Rfam family "Bacterial small subunit ribosomal RNA", at positions 28 to 507 of the family's 1533-position model. The record is from RNAcentral.